Molecule: long non-coding RNA, 222 nt
Filed under: Gossypium raimondii (Peruvian cotton)
Lineage: Eukaryota; Viridiplantae; Streptophyta; Magnoliopsida; Malvales; Malvaceae
Description: long non-coding RNA (GRAI_LNC003751)
Source: RNAcentral
GAAAAUAAAAAUCAACCUUGAAUUGAUUUCUGAUCUUUCGGUAUUGAACUCACUGUUUUUGCUAUGAAAUCCACUGUCUUUUUUAUUGAUUUUUUCUACCCCUAUUACAGUGCAUUAAUGGCUUUUUUAUAGCCGAACGAAACAAAUCUAAAGAAGAAACAAAUCUGUUUCUUUAUUUGAUUUUCGAAUCUUUGAUUGUGUUUCCUUUUUUGUUUUUUUCUU